GGCACUUGUGUGAUCUGCGGUAAUGGUGAGGAGGACGAAUUUCAUGCAGUGGUUGCUUGCUCAAAGAGCAGAGCGCUGAGACAUGCACUGAGAGACAUAUGGGGGUUGCCUCAUGAAAGGGAGUUCAGGUUUACUGGGCGUGAUUGGCUGCAGGUUCUACUGGACUCAGUCCCAAAGGAUUUACGUGCAAAGAUUCUGCUCUUGCUAUGGAGAUGCUGGCACUUGAGGGAUGACUGCAUCCAUGGUUCAGGCAAGGAAUCGAUAUCAGGUUCGAUACUUUUCCUGCAGAGAUGUGCACCGCGGCCCAGUGGAGCUGGAAUCAGACUGUAA
RNAcentral lists this ribosomal RNA (330 nucleotides) under Triticum aestivum (bread wheat). RNAcentral's name for it is "partial small subunit ribosomal RNA". The record is from RNAcentral. Lineage: Eukaryota; Viridiplantae; Streptophyta; Magnoliopsida; Poales; Poaceae.